UACGUAGGGGGCAAGCGUUGUCCGGAUUCAUUGGGCGUAAAGAGCGUGUAGGCGGCCAGGUAGGUCGGUUGUGAAAACUGGAGGCUCAACCUUCAGAGGUCGACCGAAACCAUCUGGCUAGAGUCCGGGAGAGGAGAGUGGAAUUCCUGGUGUAGCGGUGGAAUGCGCAGAUAUCAGGAGGAACACCAACGGCGAAGGCAGCUCGCUGGGACGGUACUGACACUAAGGCGCGAAAGCGUGGGGAGCGAACAGG
This 253-nucleotide ribosomal RNA is filed under the name uncultured bacterium. Its description in RNAcentral is "partial 16S ribosomal RNA". It matches the Rfam family "Bacterial small subunit ribosomal RNA", at positions 524 to 776 of the family's 1533-position model. The record is from RNAcentral.